AAACUCACAGUAACAGAAAUAGCUCUUGAAAGCUCUGUCAGAUCCCGGCACUUUUAACUGUUUUUUGACACGUGCUAAAAAAUGCAGCACCUGGUUACAAGGGCUUAUUUGACAAAUUAUCAUCUUUCGUAAUCUAAGUUAUAAAAUCUAAAUUUUAAGUGAUCUAAAAUGUUCAUGACUAACGAGUAUUUUCACUUGUACGAUUUUUCUGUGAAAUGAGUCUAAGAGUAUAUACAUGUAUAUCAGGAUACUGACUGCAUAGUAAAAUAUUUAUGUACCAUUAGUUGCGACUCAUUUUGGUCUUUUAAGUAAGUUUCCUUCCCCUGCAUUACUUGAUCGCUUUUGUAAAAAAUAAACAGCACAACUCGCACAACAACAACAGCACUCGACGUCAGUAUUGUACCAUAAAAAUGAAAAAAAUAUUCAAAAAGAAGGCUCAUAAAAUUCAAAUAUUGGACAAGAACUAUAGAAGAUGCAGAGAAAUUAUAAACAGCAGAAAUGAUAGGCAAUUUAAAAUUUGCAGAAGUCAACAAAACCUAAAUGGUGAUCAGACAUCUUGGUUUUCAUGAUCAAUAGGUCAAUACUGAAGAGGAAACUGAAAUUUGAUAUCUAUCUACAUGGUGCGCUAAUUGGAUUAAUGUGAAAUGGAAUGUGUGCUUUCCUGCAAAAAAGAAAUAGGAAAUUUCAUCAUAAUCACAUGAUAAUGGCUAUAAACAAAAUGGAGUUCUAUCAUAGAAGCAGAAAAACACAAUUGUAUAAAUGCAACAACAUAUUAUAUAUAUUCGUUGAAAGAAGGGAGAAAUGAAGAAAAAAAUAGUAUUUUGUUGUUGAAAGGAACACCAGCUUUAUCCACUCAUUUACAUCGCUCCCUCAUAUCAAAUAUACUGAAGAAGAUCUUCGAAGAACAAAUUGCAAAAAUGUUUUCUCUAAGAAUUGAAGGAAAUUGUUUAGUGAAUGGAAUAAUUUAUGUUAUGAACUUUUACGUAGUGAAUUGAAUAACUGUACACAGCAGCUGAAACAGAGGAAAAUUAAAAUUUACAAGAAAAGUGUUUAUUUUAUUAUUUAAUUUGCAAAUAUGAACGCAUUCUUAAGAACUCCACAAAUGGUAUGACAUUCAAAUUGGUUGCUUAUUAAUGUAUACAAUUGAAACAAUAACAAAGAAAACAGAAUACUUUGCUUCAAAAAAUAUUUUAAAAAUCAAAGUUAAAGUCAUAUAAAGUAUGUACAAUACCUUGACCUAAACAGUCAGACUCACUAUAUUGUUUUUGUAUGUCAUGAUAAUUUUGAGUCAUAAAUUUAUUAAAGUUUAAAUAUCAUUUGUAUCAUUUAUUAAGUCUUGUAAACAUUAUGUUCAUACUGUUUGUAUAGUGAAGAAAUUUACAAUGAGUAAAAAUAGGGGAAAGCAUUUCCUACAGGGAAAGUUGAUGUACAGAAAUUUCCUUAGAGGAAAUUUGGAGAACAAUGUUUUCCUUAGAGGAAAUUUGUGGUAUUGAAUUUUCCCUCAAGGAAAAGUGUUUGUUAAAUAUUUCCUCAAAGGAAAUUGCAGUUGACAAAAUUUCCUCACAGGAAAAAGUAUUUCCUCCAAGGAAAAUUUGAAGCUGCAAAUUUCCUCAGAGGAAAAUUCGAAGCCUCAAAUUUCCUCAGAGGAAAUAAAAUUUCCUCAAAGGAAAAUUUGAAGCCGCAAAUUUCCUCACAGGAAAUAGAAUUUCCUCAAAGGAAAUAUUAAUGCAGCAAAUUCCCUAAGGGAAAUCUUUUUCCCUUGAGGAAAAUACAAUUUCCCUUAAGGAAAAAUCUUUUUCCUUUAGGGAAAUUUGAUUUCCCUUGAGGAAAACUACUUUUCCUCUGAGGAAAUUGUUGAAAAAAGGGGCAUAACUUUUUCAACAGUGGUGCUAGAGCCAAAAUUUUUUAGGACAAAUAUCAGGGAACCAAUACCAACCAAGUUAUCAACUUCAUUUUGACUUAACUCCAAAAAUUAAGGUGACAACUUUUGCACUCAGCGGAAGUGCAAACUUGUCCCGGAGACU
Long non-coding RNA from Mytilus californianus (California mussel), 2024 nucleotides. RefSeq lists it as uncharacterized. Lineage: Eukaryota; Metazoa; Mollusca; Bivalvia; Mytilida; Mytilidae. The record is from RefSeq and is a predicted model, not a curated record. The transcript is spliced from 3 exons.